AUACAUUCUAUUAGGCCCAAAAACACUUUAUAUUAAUAAUAUCAUCCAAAAACACUUGUAUUAACAUUUAUAUCCAAACAAUGUAAUUCAGAAGAUAAAUUAUCUAGCAACCAAGAGCAAAUGUUUCAAAUUUACAAGCCAAGAAGCCAUCAAAUCUUAUAGUGCAGAACUCCUCCCAUAUUCUCAGCAAAAUUCCAGCACAUAAACUCCCAUUGAGAACAACUACCCAGCAAAACUCCCAAGUCCAGUAGUUUCCUUAAACCUGCAUGUGCAACACUAAUUGAAUAUGCCCAGCACUAUCAUUAUAAAAAAUUAACUAUUACUGUAAAACUCUUAAGUUUUAGAUACAGUAAAAUCAUUACAAAUUCAAACUCAAUCUGCAUGUGUAGCACCAAUGAAUAUAGCCAGCACUAUCAUUAUAAAGAGCUAUUUAUUAAAGUAAAACUCUAAGUUUCAAAUGCAACUUAAAUAAACUACCUGCAGAAUCAUAAGGCAACAACACAAACUCAAAACAUCAUUUUGAAGGUUAGCCAAAUUCAAACCGUCAAUUUCAAUGAACAGAGCAAAAACCUGCUGCUCUAUUCUACUUAGAGUUUGCCUUAAUUCUUCAAGAGCUUGAACUUGCAUAGUUUCAUGUUCUUGAGCCUCUCUAAGACAACUCUCUAAUUCAGCUUUUGCUUCAUUGUUGGCACAUUCCUCAGUUAAUUCUUUAGCCUCCUUGGCUGCAGCCAAAGCAUUUAUGUCGUAAUAUUUUUGUUCUACAAGUUCUACUUGGUGUUUCUCAAUUGUUUCUUAAAGCAAAUUCUCUAUGGCUGUUUUGUCCCUCUUGAUGCUCUCUACUUUAUUUUCUUCAACCCAGGAGGACAAAGAUAAUACAAAUCUUUAACAAACUAUUGCAGUUCAUCAAAACAAAGUUCAGAAGUGUAAUUUAGUCAACAAAAGACGCAUCUACUAAGUUCAUUUAUGCAGUUAAAGCAAAAAAAAAAAGUUUAUCCAUCCCAAUACUUCAGAAAUUUCAUUUCCUCCCAAGUGCUACAGAAUUAAUUUUUCAACUAAUUAAAACUAAUAUGACUUUAAAAACUUCACUUACAUAAAAACUAAUUCUCAAUUACAAAUAGUCUGAGUUUGAUUAAACUCAAAAAACAUCACAAGACAUAAAAAGCCUGUCAAGAUCACAAGUAAACAAGAUUUUGCUAAAAUAUGCCAAAACGUCCAUAUUAUCUUCAUUUAUAUGACGAUUGAAGAAAAUAGCAGCUCGAUCUAAUAUACCAGCUAACUCUACAAUUAAAAAGAAUGCUUUGAGAAUCCAACUACCUGAAGUUUGGUAACCAAACCUUUCUUCUGCUCUUCAAGCUCUCUAAUCUAGUUCUUAUGAAAAGGGGAAUAAAAGAAAAAAGUAUAUUCAUUAGAAAGAGCAGUUGAGAUAAAGUCUUUUGAAAACCAAACAAUAUGUAAAACUGCAUGUGUACUUAGAGACCUUAAUUUCUGGAUUUGAGCUUCUUACGCAGUUUUCUUUUUUGAAAGCUCUUCACCUGAAAUGACAGAUGAAUGUUAAGCAGGGGCCUCAUCACAUAAUUAUUGGCUACUGCCAAUCAAAUAUGUAAAAUCCAAAUACAAUGCAUCUGCCAGGCAGAAAAAGCUAAAGAUAGGGAAAGGAAUGGUUUAAUCACUUUCUAUAGUUUUAAAAAUUUUGAUUUUAAAUAUAUCAUAAACUAAGAUGGAAAUUGCACAUUAACUAAUGCAGUAGUCAAAUUUUUGACAUACUAAAGACAAAAUCAUGGGAUGAAAACAAAAAGAUAUGCAUGACAUGCUAUUAGAGGGACAUAUGAACAUGAUUCUUCUUCCAAUAACUGCUCAAACUAUUAGUUUAAAAUUGUAACCGAAAAUAAAUGAAGAGAACUUAAUCCAACAACUCCCAAUUUAGGACUCACAUUUGAAAACAAUUUCUCGGUUUUAAGUCACAUUCCUAACCUAUCACAGAGUGGAACCUAUGUAAAGACGAGCAUGUACACACACACACCAAAAAACAAAAAAAAAGGUCUGGAACAAAAAGCAUACCCUUCUUUCUAGAGUUACAACGUAACCCUUUGACGGUAUUCCUCCCGUAAAGUUUCAAGUUCUAUAUCACUGUUUUUUUUCUAAUCCAAAACUUCAAGCUAUUAAAUCACAAAUUAAAAAAAAAAAACCUUAAAUCUCUCUAUCUCUAUCAUCUAAUGCAACUUCUUAACCAAACCCAUCAUUUCAUUUAGUCAAUCAGUCAGUCACUUACUCACAAACUCUCCAAAAUACAAAAUUUCUCUCAACCACUUAGGGCUUUAAACAAAAUUAGAUGAAGAAGAAAAACAAAACCUGGAAUUCAAGGUUUAGGGCUGCAAUCCUCUAGUUCACGUGACAAAGUCAGGGAGUUGAUGGUUCUGGUUGCGUCACGCCAUCGCAAUUUGUGGUCAUGGUAACCGACUUGAAUUUUGUCAUGGGUCUGUGAUUUGGGUGUUGCUUUGUCGUUUGCUCGAUGGUGGUAGUUGCUGAUUGUGUAUGGAAAACUAUAUAUAGGGAAUGGAUUUGGCUAGGUUUUGAGUGCUAAUUGUGAAAGUGAGAGUGAUGAUAAUUGUGCCUAGGGUUUGAGUGUCGUUUGUGAGAGUGAGAGUGAUAAUGACUAUGGUGAGUGUAGGCUAAUUGAUUGAGAGUGUCACGAUGAUUGUGGCUAAGGUUACAGUGCUGAUUGUGGAGUAACAGUGACGAUGAACGUGCCUCGGGUUUGAGUGGCCUUUGCGAGAGUCAGAAUGACGAUGGCGAUGGUGAGUUGUGUAGAGUUUAGGACUUAAGAAAUGUUUUUGCUUUGUUUAGAUUUCGGCUAAAUGCACCGUUUUGUACUAUAUAUUUUUUUUUAUUUCAAAAAUCAUUUCACAUGCUAAACGC
Molecule: long non-coding RNA, 2916 nt
Filed under: Citrus maxima (pomelo)
Lineage: Eukaryota; Viridiplantae; Streptophyta; Magnoliopsida; Sapindales; Rutaceae
Description: long non-coding RNA (CMAX_LNC004175)
Source: RNAcentral